This 444-nucleotide ribosomal RNA is filed under the name uncultured bacterium. RNAcentral's name for it is "SSU rRNA". It matches the Rfam family "Bacterial small subunit ribosomal RNA", at positions 26 to 518 of the family's 1533-position model. The record is from RNAcentral.
AGAGCGAACGCUGGCGGCAGGCCUAAAACAUGCAAGUCGAACGAGCCCUUCGGGGUUAGUGGCGGACGGGUGAGUAACACGUGGGAACGUGCCUUUUGGUUCGGAACAACUCAGGGAAACUUGAGCUAAUACCGAAUGUGCCCUUCGGGGGAAAGAUUUAUCGCCAUUAGAGCGGCCCGCGUCUGAUUAGCUAGUUGGUGAGGUAAAGGCUCACCAAGGCUUCGAUCAGUAGCUGGUCUGAGAGGAUGAUCAGCCACACUGGGACUGAGACACGGCCCAGACUCCUACGGGAGGCAGCAGUUAGGAAUCUUGCGCAAUGGGCGAAAGCCUGACGCAGCCAUGCCGCGUGAAUGAUGAAGGUCUUAGGAUUGUAAAAUUCUUUCAGCGGGACGAUAAUGACGGUACCGCAGAAGAAGCUCCGGCUAACUUCGUGCCAGCAGCCGC